Molecule: long non-coding RNA, 699 nt
Organism: Strongylocentrotus purpuratus (purple sea urchin)
Lineage: Eukaryota; Metazoa; Echinodermata; Echinoidea; Camarodonta; Strongylocentrotidae
Exons: 4
Source: RefSeq, a predicted model, not a curated record
AUCACAGUUGGAUUUCUUUAUUUGAUUAUUUUUGGUGUGUUUACAACCGAAUUAUAUUCAGGUGUAAAAUUUUGCCUUUAUCUUUUCUCUCACAUCACAGAUCCAUGGCAGGGUGAAAGUGUCUUUCAGAUUGGUACACUUCGAGAACAACGGUCACAUAGAACUUGAUGGGGGGUGUUGCGACUUCUUUUGUGGUCGUUGCGACAACAAAUUUAGUCUCUGCUUCGAUGUCUAUGGAGGGAAUUACGGUAUGAACCAUUGUCCUUAUGGCAAGUUUCAAACGGACCUACUCUAUAAACACGACGAUAAUUUCAACUUCCCAUCAUCUCUAGCCAGCAAUCUAGACAACCCAAUUGUAUUGACAAUCAAUUCAUGGUCGAAAGGAUUCAAAUCCAAGAUUGAAGUUUGGGAUUAUGAUCCAGCUAAUGCAAACGACAAGAUAGAUUAUUACAGCUACAAUCACCCAUAUACCCCCGUCGAACAUCAUUCUUGGCGAGAGAACACCCCGUGAUACUGAAUGGAGCAGGAGAAUCUCUAACGAGGGUUGCAGUGAAGGUUUACUGCGAUGUGAAUUACUACGGAACGUCUUCAGGCUGUAGCACAUAUUGUUCAGCGAGAGACAACGAUGGAGGCCACUAUGAUUGUAAUGAUAUUACAGGAGCUAGGGUUUGUCACUCAGGAUGGCAGGGAUCUAAUUGC